CGUAGGGUGCAAGCGUUGUCCGGAUUUAUUGGGUUUAAAGGGUGCGUAGGCGGCUUUGUAAGUCAGCGGUGAAAUACUCUAGCUUAACUAGAGGGGUGCCAUUGAUACUGCGGAGCUUGAGUACAGAUGAGGUAGGCGGAAUUGACGGUGUAGCGGUGAAAUGCAUAGAUAUCGUCAAGAACACCGAUAGCGAAGGCAGCUUACUGGGCUGUAACUGACGCUGAUGCACGAAAGUGUGGGGAUCAAACAGGAUUAGAUACCCUGGUAGUCCACACUGUAAACGUUGAUUACUCGCUGUUUGCGAUACACAGCAAGCGGCUUAGCGAAAGCGAUAAGUAAUCCACCUGGGGAGUACGCCGGCAACGGUG
RNAcentral lists this ribosomal RNA (368 nucleotides) under uncultured organism. Its description in RNAcentral is "bacterial SSU rRNA". It matches the Rfam family "Bacterial small subunit ribosomal RNA", at positions 526 to 896 of the family's 1533-position model. The record is from RNAcentral.